Long non-coding RNA from Eriocheir sinensis (Chinese mitten crab), 1463 nucleotides. RefSeq lists it as uncharacterized. The record is from RefSeq and is a predicted model, not a curated record. The transcript has 5 exons. Lineage: Eukaryota; Metazoa; Arthropoda; Malacostraca; Decapoda; Varunidae.
UGUAUUCUCUAGUGCACAUGCGACUUAUUUCUGCGAGGAGGCAUUUCCCGCAACACCGCCUGCACGUGAGAGGGGGAGUGUCCGUGUUGUGAACGAGAAGAGACACCUAAGUUGUUGUUCUGUGUCAAGGUUCUCUGGUCUAAGUGGUUUGUGGCGUUAUAAAUACUACAUGCGCGUCAAAACACAUUAACACACUGCUGCAAGACAUGGCGGAUAACAACAACAACACUGAAUCAUCUUAUCCCUCCACUCGGCUCGUCUCCUCGCCUCGCCUCAGUCGCCGCGGAAGUCCACCGCUGUUCAGCCGCGGACACAGCCACCACAUGUCAAGAUCACUUUGUCUGUCUGUCUGCCUGUCACCCGUUCCAUCACGUCCUCGCCGGCCACCACAACACACCUGGCCACACCUGAGCAGACCCGCAACACUAAUUAACGCGCUGCAGCCACCGCCAGGAUAUGACAGGUGGCUGGUCUGGAGGUGGAGUCCAUCCUACAUCAGUGGGCGAAGGUUUUAAGGUGAGGCACAAGGUAAUCAGGUCGAGCCGGCAGGUGAUGCAGAACGCGGCGCCUCUUGCUGCCAGUUUCCCCGCGUCACACGCCAUGCAUUUCGCCUCUGGUACUAGCAGGCAAGGUGAGGCCCAAGGCGAGCUGCUGGCAACGGUCAAUCCAUGUUCCAGCAAGUGUCCAACAUUCUUCUUCAUUUCAUCACGGGAAGUGAUUCGACAGCGUCCGCAGUGGCGGAUCUAGAAAAAUUUUGGGGGGGCAUUAGGCACUCGGCUCGCAACCGAAAUUUCUCGGUUGAAAAGAGAUUUUGGGUUCUCUUCCCGGGCAGAGUGAGAGUUAAAAUGGGCUUCCUCUCUUUACACCCCAGCCCCUGCGUCUCCGUAGCUGAGUGGUUUCUGUGACCGCCUACCGCUCCUCGCCGUCCUCGGGGCACCGUUUGGAGCCCGAUUAGGUGCCUUCGGCGCACAGCCCACACAGCUAUUACUCUUGAUCAUCCUUCCUUUCGGGUUGGUCGAUAAACGGGUACCAAGUGAAACUUGGGGAAGGUAAAUUAUGGGAAUCAGGAUGACAUAGGGCCAAGUGUCCACGGGCUAGUGGAUACGAGUCACCACGGGCUCAAGAAAGCGGAAAUGAGCAUCAAUGCAACGCGCAGCAGUAUCCUAUGCUCCCCACUUCACCUACGAGGACUACUUAAUUAGACAGACAUUAUAGGCUAGUCUCUCGGUUAGUAAUUUUCCCCAUCCCAGCCUGUCCUCCAUAUUGUAAUUCUAAAUAGGUUAGGUUACAAGAGGAGCUUCAUCAGCUUUUUUUGUGAAAUUAAAUGAGAAAAUGAGAAAGUAUUUGCUCUUGGGUUUACUUACACUUGAUGUAAUUUGUAUUAGCAAUCCUUUCGUAAAUAGAAUAAAAACAAAUGAAAAAUUCUUUGUCAAGUGUUGUGCCACAGUAAUGUAUUAGAUGAC